AAACUAGGAUUAGAUACCCUAUUAUUAAGAGCUCUAUAUUGUUAGUAUAUAAUUUAUAUGAAAACAAAAAAUUAUGGCGGUAUUUUAAGCUUUUCAGAGGAAUUUGCUCUUUAAUGGAUAAAACACCUAAAUCUUACUAGAAUUUGUGGCAGUUUGUAUACCACUAUUUAAGUAAUAAUUUGUUGUUAUUACUAGAAUUUAUUCAAAAAUAAAAAAAGUUAAGUCAAGGUGCAGCAAAAAUUCUAGAAUGAAGUGAAUUACAUUACUUUAAAGUAAUUUUAAUAUUGAAAAUUAAAAUUUAGGAUUUGAAAGUAAAAUUUUAAUAGAAAGAAAAUUUGAAUUUAGCUCUAAAAUAUGUACAUAUCGCCCGUCGCUCUUUUUUAAAGAUAAGUCGUAACAUAG
This 402-nucleotide ribosomal RNA is filed under the name Haemaphysalis cretica. RNAcentral describes it as "partial 12S ribosomal RNA". The record is from RNAcentral. Lineage: Eukaryota; Metazoa; Arthropoda; Arachnida; Ixodida; Ixodidae.